AAAGAGCGAGUUGGGACAGGGUGUUUACGAAAGCGGAAACGAGAAGCAGAAAGGGGAAGGGAAAAACACGGAAGGUGCGAGAAAGAGGGCAAAAGAGGGAGUGCGCCAGGAGGAAACUGCGGACAAAACGGAGUGAGAGAGAGAGAGAGAGAGAGAGAGAGAGAAGGCGAGAGAGAAAGAGAAAGAGAAAGAGAGAACGAUAGAGAGGGAGGUCGACUUUGGAUGCGAGCGGUCUACUCGAACACAGUAAUGCCGACCAGCUCCAACCGGGUGCCGCCAAAUCGAACCCCGGUUCGAAUUCCGCACGGCCGUGGCCGCGGGAAGAAGCGAGAGGAACAGGAGGAAAAGGAGGAGAAGGACGAAGAGGGUGGUAGAGGAGGAAAGGACAACGAAGACGACGGCAACAACGACAACGACGACAACGACAACGACGACGACGACGGGGAACGCGAAUAAAAAGAAAUCGUGGAAGUGGAAGAGAAAGAAGAAGAAAAAGGAAAUAGCAGUGCGCAAACAAUCAUGCUCAUUAUGACGGACAAACUGGAAGUUUCAAUAUCGUUUCACACAGCACAACAAUAUAUUCAACAGGGUAACAACAAGCGAUCGAGGAUAUGCACCUGCUUUGCUGUAUGAUCCUCUUUGAUGUCAUUCCCUGGACUUUGAGUGUCACAAGAAGAGCAGGCAAGAGAAAGAGAAAAAACGCUGAGGGAGCAACAUCGCGAAAAAAGCGCCUUUCAAAGCGGAUACUCGCUUCUUCCUUUGCGCAAGAACGAAAUGUUUCGCCUUUUCACGCAUUUACUCGAAUACGCGUGUCGAUACUUCGCAUUCUACGAUACGCGAAGCAAUUCUCUACAAGUGAAGUUGUCUGCAAGAUCUCUAACAACGGGAGCAAUUAGUUCUUUAUUGAAUGGCAAGAGUGGAGAUAAAAUUCACAAAAACAUCAACGUUCCUGAAGUCAUCUAAUAAUUACCACGUCAUUUACUCCAAUUUGACAUCGGCAAUUACUUCGACUUGACAUUAAUUCAUAUUUCAAACACCAACAAGCCUUCGAGUGACGAGUCGCAUCACGGUACACGCAUCGCGGAUAAUCGUUUCGCAACAGCUGCAGUGCACUGCACGUCGCAACCACUUAUCGUCCUCGCGAGGGCAAUUUUUGCGCGAACGCACGAGCGACGUCCCCAGCGAAUAGAGAAGAAACUAAAUACCAGAAGCUGAAACUUCAGGCUCGCAACUUUAAGUCCCUUAUGAAUAAUCACCGGUCUAGGGACGAAAGUCUCGACAUACAUAACGGGCCG
Molecule: long non-coding RNA, 1295 nt
Organism: Camponotus floridanus (Florida carpenter ant)
Lineage: Eukaryota; Metazoa; Arthropoda; Insecta; Hymenoptera; Formicidae
Exons: 4
Source: RefSeq, a predicted model, not a curated record